UCCUCGCGCUCUCCAUUGGUGGUCGGCUCCGGCGCUCCUGAAGCCACCAAUCACCGGCCGCGUUUUCUUACAAAGGGUGGAGAGUCGCCUUCCUGAAGCCAUGCUCUCUCUGUACAGGAAAGCUAGGCUGAUGGCUCAAUUGAGGUUAAUGAAAACUCCAAUCAGAGAGGCAAAACGCGAGCGGGAUUAUCGUAUUUACAUAAAGGAGCAAUACGAGAACCUGAGCAGCCCCUAACAGCUGGCCCUGGAAAGGUUUCUGUGGCAAAGGGCCAUCAGAUGUGCUCAUCCUAUAUACUAUGUACACUCUAGUUCGGGUUCCAUCACCACCUAAUUCCGUGUCACUUCCAUCCGGGGGUCUCUGUUUCCUCAAUUUAGAGAGGACUGGAUAGUCUGUCGGGACCCUUCCAAUUCUAAAUUUCUAUGAGCUGCGGAAGCUGAGUCACCCCCUGGGAGCCAACGCUGUUUAGCAUUCAGGCCUGAACAGAAAAUCACAGAAUGGGAGUCUGGUUUGACUUUUUUUCUGUCCUUCUGUCUACAGAGGAAGAAAUAGCUGUCUCAUUCCCCCUUGCCAGAAGAAAAAAAAAUCAAUAGGUGUUUAAUCUGCAAGGGAGAUGAAUUUCCCUUCAACCCAAGGAGAUGUGGAAUGGCUCUGGGCUGAGGUUUGAUUGAAGUGUCAGGUGUCAGCCCGCAGGGAUGAUAAAUAAUCUCCCUCACCCCCUCGCUUUACAGAUAAAAAGUCUGAGGCUCAGAGAUGCUGGGCACCUUGCACAAGGCAGCCCAGCUUUCAGAGCAGAAAUACUACGCCCUUUCUGUCCCAUCAUGCUGGACAGCUCGGACCAUCUGCUUUCCUCAGGGACUCAGGUUUGCUGUGCCUCCCCCUCUUCUUCAUCCUCUCAUACUGUCCAAUAAUAAUUGGCAACAUACACAUCCAGCCCUCAGAAACUGGAGACAAGGACCAAGCUGAGUUUUCUGAUAUUAGUCAAGGUAGAUUCCUUGAAGAAAGUGCCUUUAACUUGGCCGCAAUCUGAAGCUCUGAAGCAUUCCAGUGAUUCUACAACACAUAGGCUUUGACUCUGCAGGACUUGCAGAUGAUUUCACAAAAUUUCCAAACCUUAAAAGGCAGAGUGAUGAAGCAUUGCAUCAGCAGUAUAGUGGCUAAUGGCUGGAUUCUCUUAAUUUCCAAAUAUCCCAUACCCACAACAUAGAAUCAGUGGGAUCGGGUACCUGUAAAAUCUGGCAGCCAUCCAAGGAUAGAUUUCCUCAUUUUACCAAAGGCACCAAAGAUCUUGGCAUCUUGGACCACCUCCUCUACCCCAGCAUCAGGCAUUUACUGAACUCCCCUACAAUCUCAUCGAUGGUAAAGGCUUUUGUGAGGCAAGGGAAGAAUCUCAGAAGCUUUCCUCUGGCCUAUUCUUGUCUUGCUGUCUCUGCCCACCUUCAGCCACCUGCCUCCCCCACCACACGUACCAAUUUAAAACAGCUUUCAGGCCCCCAUGAUUUUCUCCUAGUUUUCUGGUUAAUUCUUAAAAUCCAACUUUUCCUUUUGUUUCAUAAUUUCUCCAAUGCUGUUCUAAAAUAGACAAACAGCAGUUAAAUUGGUUAACCAUCUGCACAGAAAUUGGAAGUUCAUGGUGAUGCCUAACCAAAGAAAGAAAGAAAAGGAGGAGGAAGAGGAGAGGGAGGAGGAGGGGGGGAGAAGGAGGAGAAACAAAAUAAAGAUAAAGGACUAUAAAAUGCAUCCUAUAGAGCAAAGUUCAAAAUCUUUUCCACCACGUUCAAAGCGGAGCCUACCCCAUCAGUAAUUGGUACUGCCCAUUCAUUUAACUAACCUUUGAACACCUAUUCUGUGCUGGCACCGGGGAUACGCUGGUGAACAAGGCAGAUACGAAAACCCUUGCCCCUAGAGCACACAGGCUCCAGGCUGUAGUGGGAGCUGCUGGCAGAGACUUCCAGUGCAGGAACGGUGUGAAGCAUUCAGUUGGAUAGUGAAGGAACAGAAAGGAGGGUGGAUGGCUGGAGCAAAGUGCUCAGAGAAACAUUUUGGCUUUGGGCGACAUGAUUUUGGAUAUGCUUCAUUAUUUUUUAAAAUCCUAUCUUCACAUUUGGUGAUGCAACAAUGGAAAGGGAAGGAAACAGACACAGGGAAGUUAGGUAACUGGCCCAAGGUCACACCACUGACAAGCAGCAGCACUGGAUUUUGAACUGUGACAUCCAGGAUCGAGGGACGGCGCUAUUCCCCACCAUGCUAGACCAUUAUCUGUGCAAUGACGCUCAAGAAUCUUGUUUCUGAAGUCAAAGCAGGUGCCCUGUCUGCACUUAUUACUUCCAUCCUUGGUUGUUGUUGUUGUUGUUGUUGUUGUUGUUUUAACCAUUGUUAAAGAUCUCAUUUGAUAUUCAGAA
This is a long non-coding RNA of Leopardus geoffroyi (Geoffroy's cat), 2400 nucleotides long. RefSeq lists it as uncharacterized. The transcript is spliced from 3 exons. The record is from RefSeq and is a predicted model, not a curated record. Lineage: Eukaryota; Metazoa; Chordata; Mammalia; Carnivora; Felidae.